GAGUUUGAUCGUGGCUCAGAGCGAACGCUGGCGGCAUGCUUAACACAUGCAAGUCGCACGGGCAGGUUUCGGCCUGUCAGUGGCGGACGGGUGAGUAACGCGUAGGGAUCUAUCUCCGGGUGGGGACAACCGUGGGAAACUACGGCUAAUACCGCAUGACACCUGCGGGUCAAAGGUGCUGGGGCAACCUGGCAUCGCCGGGAGCGGAGCCUGCGUACGAUUAGCUGGUUGGUGGGGUAAAGGCCUACCAAGGCGACGAUCGUUAGCUGGUCUGAGAGGAUGAGUCAGCCACAUUGGGACUCGAGACACGGCCCAAACUCCUACGGGAGGCAGCAGUGGGGAAUAUUGGACAAUGGGCGCGAGCCUGAUCCAGCAAUGCCGCGUGUGUGAAGAAGGUCUUC
Molecule: ribosomal RNA, 401 nt
Filed under: uncultured Alphaproteobacteria bacterium
Lineage: Bacteria; Pseudomonadati; Pseudomonadota; Alphaproteobacteria
Description: bacterial SSU rRNA
Rfam family: Bacterial small subunit ribosomal RNA
Source: RNAcentral